GACUUUCGAACGCAUAUUGCAGUCAUGGCCAUUCCAUGACUUCGUUUGUCUGAGCGUCGUUUAAUAAAAUUGUAAUAAUCAAAAGACCAUGAGGUGUUGGACCAUUGUUGUCUGGCUCGUCUGGUUUCAAUUGGUAUACUGAUGUGAUGUAAUGUCACAUUCAGUAUACUUUGCCCACAAUUAUUGCAAAUUUCACACACAAAUUUUUUAUAUUUUGUGUUCUUGUUAGUGUGUGUAGUGUUUCAUUACACUACAUACAGUCAUUGCAGGGCAAUUGGCAUUACAAGCCAAUUCUUAGCGUUCUCUGUUCAAUGAUCAUAAUAAGAACAUCAAGCAAAAUAUUCUAAAAAAAAUUCUGUGCUGUUGAAUAAUUUUGUUGUUAAAUUUCGACCUCAGAUCAAGCGAGAUUACCCCCUGAAUUUAAGC
This 426-nucleotide ribosomal RNA is filed under the name Sennertia alfkeni. RNAcentral describes it as "eukaryotic LSU rRNA". Lineage: Eukaryota; Metazoa; Arthropoda; Arachnida; Sarcoptiformes; Chaetodactylidae. The record is from RNAcentral.